Molecule: RNA transcript, 730 nt
Organism: Neogale vison (American mink)
Lineage: Eukaryota; Metazoa; Chordata; Mammalia; Carnivora; Mustelidae
Gene: C2H10orf143
Gene name: chromosome 2 C10orf143 homolog
Exons: 6
Source: RefSeq, a predicted model, not a curated record
CACAGCGGCGUGGGCCGGCCGCCGGGUGGGAUGAGAGGCCCGCGGACUCGGGCGUGGGGCCGCAUGGACACGCUGGUGCUGGGCCGGUGGCGACGGCGGAGGGCGGAGGAGCUUCAGGUUCCGGGGGACGCGAAACGGGCAUGCAGGAGAGGAGAGGCGGCCGGGCCGGAGUGGGCCUGCCCCCCCACAAACCUCAGCGCCCCGGUGUCCUGGAGUGGUGAGGGGCGGCCACGUGUCGGGAUUCCUCACAACGGUGGAGGGAGCUCGGCCCAGCCUUGCCCGAGAUGUAUUGCGGGGGAGUCUCUUCUCCGGGGCAAGAUGUCGGCUCAGGAACGCUGUCUCCUUCCAAGUGACACCGCUGUCGCAGACUGCCCUUCAGGGGUCAGAAGGAGGGCGGCAUGCGACUGAGCAUUUACCCCCAGUCAACGAAUGAGAAGUUCUGAGCCAGGAACCCAAGUCUGUGCGGGCCCUCCACCCGGGGCGCUCCCCCAGCCUCCUGGCCCGGACACCUGGGGACCCACACCAUCCCGCUCUGCCCAUACCUGCUGGAAGUCAGGCCGCAUGUUUCUCCCUGUCACCAAAGAAUUAAAGACAACAUCUUGGACGGUCUCUGUACAUGGAGAAAUGAGAAUGUAUUCGCAGACAAAGCGUGACCUGAGGGAGAAGCCUGCCGGAAUCUGGAUUUUCAAUAACAUAAGACAAUAAAGCUUAGACUUCUAACCUGCUGCAA